CUUCAGCGAUCCCAGCCACAGCGGCUGUUCGCGGUCCUGGCCGUAGGUCGCGAGGAGGGCCUGGGCCUC
Streptomyces sp. NRRL B-3648 is the source of this 69-nucleotide non-coding RNA. It matches the Rfam family "ASpks TB sRNA". The record is from Rfam. NCBI's taxonomy places the organism in Bacteria, Bacillati, Actinomycetota, Actinomycetes, Kitasatosporales, Streptomycetaceae.